Molecule: unclassified non-coding RNA, 448 nt
Filed under: Hevea brasiliensis (rubber tree)
Lineage: Eukaryota; Viridiplantae; Streptophyta; Magnoliopsida; Malpighiales; Euphorbiaceae
Source: RNAcentral
AAAUGAUGGUCCAAUCUGCAAAAUCCUCCAAGUUAGUCACAGUUGUAAAAAUCCAAUUUGAACAAAAAGACAUUCUCACAUCUACUAAAUGCACAUAAAUGCCUUUACCAUAUCACUUGUAAAGUUGCUUCCAAAAGAAAAAUGCAAAAUAGAAGUAACCAGUGAAUAAAAAUACCUUACAAAGUUAUUAGAUUUUACAACACCACAGAACCACAAGUAAAAAUAAAAGAAAUUCUGCCAUGAUGAAAUGGACAAUAAUGCUUGAGUUCAUAUGGAGUAGUCUGGCACAUGUAGUAGUCUGGCCAGGACUCUCAUCAUCCCUUCUCAAUCCAACUUGGAAGACUAUGAGUUCUUGGAGGGAAAAAUGGAUCGACAUAACUGUCUGAAACUAGCAUACUAAACUUCAUUGUUUAUGGUAUGUGCGCAACAAAUGGGACUGAAACAAGGG